Molecule: ribosomal RNA, 251 nt
Filed under: uncultured bacterium
Lineage: Bacteria
Description: partial 16S ribosomal RNA
Rfam family: Bacterial small subunit ribosomal RNA
Source: RNAcentral
UACGUAGGGUGCAAGCGUUAAUCGGAAUUACUGGGCGUAAAGCGUGCGCAGGCGGUUGUGUAAGACAGAUGUGAAAUCCCCGGGCUCAACCUGGGAACUGCAUUUGUGACUGCACAGCUGGAGUGCGGCAGAGGGGUGGAAUUCCUGGUGUAGCAGUGAAAUGCGUAGAUAUCAGGAGGAACAUCGAUGGCGAAGGCAGCCCCUUGGACCUGUACUGACGCUCAUGCACGAAAGCGUGGGGAGCAAACAGG